UGGGGAAUCUUGCGCAAUGCGCGAAAGCGUGACGCAGCAACGCCGCGUGGGUGAAGACGGCCUUCGGGUUGUAAAGCCCUUUCAGUUGGGACGAAGCUUCGUCGGUGAAUAGCCGGCUGGAGUGACGGUACCUUCAGAAGAAGCCCCGGCUAACUACGUGCCAGCAGCCGCGGUAAUACGUAGGGGGCGAGCGUUGUCCGGAAUCAUUGGGCGUAAAGCGCGUGUAGGCGGCUCGGUAAGUCCGCUCUGAAAGUCCGGGGCUCAACCCCGGGAGGCGGGUGGAUACUGCCGGGCUAGAGUCCGGAAGAGGCGAGUGGAAUUCCUGGUGUAGCGGUGAAAUGCGCAGAUAUCAGGAGGAACACCAAUGGCGAAGGCAGCUCGCUGGGACGGUACUGACGCUGAGACGCGAAAGCGUGGGGAGCGAACAGGAUUAGAUACCCUGGUAGUCCACGCCGUAAACGAUGGGCACUAGGUGUGGGGGGUGUCGACUCCCUCCGUGCCGACGCUAACGCAUUAAGUGCCCCGCCUGGGGAGUACGGCCGCAAGGCUA
RNAcentral lists this ribosomal RNA (550 nucleotides) under uncultured bacterium. RNAcentral's name for it is "bacterial SSU rRNA". It matches the Rfam family "Bacterial small subunit ribosomal RNA", at positions 355 to 896 of the family's 1533-position model. The record is from RNAcentral.